Quercus robur (English oak) is the source of this 1684-nucleotide long non-coding RNA. RefSeq lists it as uncharacterized. The transcript is spliced from 6 exons. The record is from RefSeq and is a predicted model, not a curated record. Lineage: Eukaryota; Viridiplantae; Streptophyta; Magnoliopsida; Fagales; Fagaceae.
UUCUUUUAGUUUUGCUUGCAUGCUUUUAAAAAUAUUAAAUAAAGAUCUAUUGGGCCUAUUCAUUAUGUAGCUGGCUCUCCUGCCAUCAAAUGACAAUCCAGUCAAUUGCAAAGUGGAAAGGAGCUCUCCUGUCAGAGUGUCAGGCCUUCUCUAAUUAUUAUAUGCAGCUUGAUCUUUCUAACUUGGAAUGUGAAAUUUUUGUUGAAGUUUAUAUUUUGGCUGUAGCAGCAAUUAUGCAUGUUGGUUAGCUUGCAUUCAACAUAUCAUAAAGAGGCACAUGCACUAUUUAAAUCCUCUGAUUUCCCUAGUUCUGGGUUUUAACAAAGACAUGUCAAGGAAAUAAAUAAAGCAGUCAACUUCCCAUCAUGUAUUAGUUUUUUGACACAGUUCCCUUUUAUGGGCCUGCCUUUUUAAACUUUUACUUUUCGUGUGUGUGGUAUGAAACAUGCCUAGUGACUGGUUCAAGGAUGUGGCACUAGCUGUUUCAAUGUUUUCCCCUGCUUAUGAUAUUACCUCUUCUUCUUGGGAAAACCAUUUUCUAUUAUUUUUCUUUCCACACCCUUCCCCCUAAACUUUCUUUGUAAAUGAGCCACUGCAUUUUGGCAAAUACAUUCUGGCAUAGUGUUGAUUUUAUUUUUUAACUUUUAUAUCUUUGAUGAAUGGAGUUGAUCCAAAUGGUAGAAGCAUGGAAAAGCCAAGAACCAAAAGGAUGUAACUGAUAGAACCAAACCUUGGCAGUUGUCUGAAAUUGUGGAUGCUGUCCAGUUCUGAUUAGUGACCAUGCCUGAAGGCACAGAUUCUUCCAGCAAGGUUGUUCGACUUCUAUAUGCAAAUUCUGGCAUUAGGGUUUCGGCACUUGGGUCAGAUGGUGUUCAGAAACUAUGGAAAUGGGCAGGGAACGAACAAAAUCCAAAUGGAAAGGCCACUGCCAGUAUUGUUCCUCAACACUGGCAACCAAACAGUGGUCUUCUUUAUGGCUCAUGAUGUCUCAGGUGUCAUCCUUGAAGAAUCAGUACCAUGUAUAGCACUAUCAAAAAAUGACUCAUAUGUGAUGUCAGCUUGUGGUGGAAACGUUUCAUUAUUUAAUAUGAUGACAUUCAAGGUAAUGACAACAUUUAUGCCAGCACCCCCUGCUUCUACCUUCCUAGCAUUUCAUCCUCAAGACAAAUAACAUACAUCAUAGCUAUUGGAAUGGAGGAUUCAACUAUACACAUAUAAUGUUAGAGUUGAUAAGGUAAAAUCAAAACUGAAGGGACACCAGAAGCAAAUAACUGGUUUAGCUUUUUCAACGAAUCUUAAUAUCCUGGUUUCGUCAGGGGCUGAUGCUCAACCUUGUUCAAUGGGAUUUGCUACUGGUGGAAAAAACAUUCUUAUGAUGUGUGGUGGGUUUUGCUUUUUGCCUGGUCAUGGAAUCUUGCAUAGGUAAUUUUCCUUUGAAACUACUUGUCUUUUAUCUAUUUCUUAUGAUGAUUGAUUGUCUUCCAAGCAGGGGCGGCUUAUGGCCUAGGCUACUUAAGCCUUGGCCUAAGGGCCAGUAUAAGUGAAUGUGUCUUAAUAGAUAUCUCACAACUUAUAUAUGUUUUGUCUUCCUCUGUUUGUUUUUUGUCUUCUCUAUAUUCUUCUUGUGUUUAUUAAUAUAUUGUGUGAUACUGCAAGUAAUUUUAUUUUCAUGGGAGUUCGCAUA